Molecule: ribosomal RNA, 496 nt
Filed under: uncultured bacterium
Lineage: Bacteria
Description: partial 16S ribosomal RNA
Rfam family: Bacterial small subunit ribosomal RNA
Source: RNAcentral
GAUGAACGCUGGCGGCGUGCCUAAUACAUGCAAGUCGAGCGAACAGACGAGGAGCUUGCUCCUCUGACGUUAGCGGCGGACGGGUGAGAAACACGUGGAUAACCUACCUAUAAGUCUGGGAUAACUUCGGGAAACCGGAGCAAUACCGGAUAAUAUAUUGAACCGCAUGGUUCAAUAGUGAAAGACGGUUUUGCUGUCACUUAUUGAUGGAUCCGCGCCGCAUUAGCUAGUUGGUAAGGUAACGGCUUAUCAAGGCAACGAUGCGUAGACGACCUGAGAGGGUGAUCGGCCGCACUGGAGCUUGGACGCGGACCAGACUCCUACGGGAGGCAGCAGUAGGGAAUCUGCCGCAGUGGGCGAAAGCUUGGCGGAGCAACGCCGCGUGUGUGAUGAAGAUCUUCGGAGCGUGAUACUCUGUUAUUAGGGAAAAACAAAUGUGUAAGUAACUAUGCACGUCUUGACGGUACCUGGUCAGAAAGCAACGGCUAACUACGUG